Molecule: long non-coding RNA, 1170 nt
Filed under: Phasianus colchicus (ring-necked pheasant)
Lineage: Eukaryota; Metazoa; Chordata; Aves; Galliformes; Phasianidae
Description: lncRNA (ENSPCLG00000009228.1)
Source: RNAcentral
AUGUGUGCACACAGUGUGGAGGGGAAAGAUUGCUGGCUAAUAAACAAACAAGGCAUGGCUAUACAGACAACUUGUGGGAAAUACCUGCAAGGGAACAUCAGGGUCAAGUUUGAAUGCUGGCACUUUAUCAGUCCAGGGCAUGAAUUUCUUUGUUUCCGGAUCGAUGUAAUAGUCGAAAAUUGUCCCCUGAGCAGGAAACUUGAUGGCUUUGAACUCGUUCACCCACCACUUGCUGAACUCUGCACGGUAAUCCAUGAGCUUUUGGAGGGAACCAAAAGAGAAAAACUCAGAACACGGCCAACGUGGUCAUUUGGUGCUCCCACAGCAUCACAGACCAACCUGGUCCUGGAACAUGGCCCCACCGAAGGCCCAGGUGCAGGCAAAGAUGAAAUAGAGCUCAUAGAGCUCACGGGGAGAGUCUGGCGGCACGUUCUGUGGUGUCAGGAGGCACUCCAGCAGGUACAGGAUCAUCUGUAUCACCGUGAUCUCAGGGAUGGGGGUGAUCCUCUUGAAGCCAAACUUGAGCUUCUCCAGACACACGGGCACGUACUUAUCAAACAGAAUCAUCAGGUUGGCCUUCUCGGACUGCACGGCUCUCUUCUCAAUCCAGCUGGUCACCACACUGUGGAGGGAUGGGUGAGCAGGGCUGCAGGGAUCAGGGCCCCCCAUCCCAUCCCAUGCCCAUUCCAUCCCCAUGCCCAUCCCAUCCCGUGCUCACGGGCUCCAGCCCAGGUCUGCAGGGUUGAUGUAGAGGAUCCCUGCCCGGGACACAGUGGCCGGCGUGGCGGUGCGCAGAUGGCUGAUCUCAAAGAGCAGCCGCAUGGUGGGGUUGAGGGGGAUGCGCUCAUUGCUGGCCAAGGUGAGGACCUGGAGGAAGUGGUCUGUCACAAGGGCAGCUCUGAUUUUGGGGAGCGGGCACAAAGAGGUUUAUUAUCCUCAGUUCACAAGCCUAGCUCCUCGGGCGUGAUGGCACCAACCUUAUUGUCAUCCAUGACCGUGUUCAGGGACUCAAUCCACAUGGGGUCAAUAUCACCAUCAAGGAUGAUCCACUUGGGCCCCUUGUGUGUGAUGUUAGCCAGGUCACGCAUCGUUGAAGAAAACAGACCUAUCCAUACAGAGACAUAUGGGCUUUUCCUGCCCAGCUCUUCCUACUCAGAGCAGGUUUGCUAG